This 1342-nucleotide ribosomal RNA is filed under the name Salmonella enterica subsp. enterica serovar Indiana. RNAcentral describes it as "partial 23S ribosomal RNA". It matches the Rfam family "Bacterial large subunit ribosomal RNA", at positions 1525 to 2840 of the family's 2925-position model. Lineage: Bacteria; Pseudomonadati; Pseudomonadota; Gammaproteobacteria; Enterobacterales; Enterobacteriaceae. The record is from RNAcentral.
UGUGUGUUCCAGGUAAAUCCGGUUCACUUUAACACUGAGGCGUGACGACGAGGCACUACGGUGCUGAAGCAACAAAUGCCCUGCUUCCAGGAAAAGCCUCUAAGCAUCAGGUAACAUCAAAUCGUACCCCAAACCGACACAGGUGGUCAGGUAGAGAAUACCAAGGCGCUUGAGAGAACUCGGGUGAAGGAACUAGGCAAAAUGGUGCCGUAACUUCGGGAGAAGGCACGCUGACAUGUAGGUGAAGUGAUUUACUCAUGGAGCUGAAGUCAGUCGAAGAUACCAGCUGGCUGCAACUGUUUAUUAAAAACACAGCACUGUGCAAACACGAAAGUGGACGUAUACGGUGUGACGCCUGCCCGGUGCCGGAAGGUUAAUUGAUGGGGUCAGCGCAAGCGAAGCUCCUGAUCGAAGCCCCGGUAAACGGCGGCCGUAACUAUAACGGUCCUAAGGUAGCGAAAUUCCUUGUCGGGUAAGUUCCGACCUGCACGAAUGGCGUAAUGAUGGCCAGGCUGUCUCCACCCGAGACUCAGUGAAAUUGAACUCGCUGUGAAGAUGCAGUGUACCCGCGGCAAGACGGAAAGACCCCGUGAACCUUUACUAUAGCUUGACACUGAACAUUGAGCCUUGAUGUGUAGGAUAGGUGGGAGGCUUUGAAGUGUGGACGCCAGUCUGCAUGGAGCCGACCUUGAAAUACCACCCUUUAAUGUUUGAUGUUCUAACGUGGACCCGUAAUCCGGGUUGCGGACAGUGUCUGGUGGGUAGUUUGACUGGGGCGGUCUCCUCCUAAAGAGUAACGGAGGAGCACGAAGGUUGGCUAAUCCUGGUCGGACAUCAGGAGGUUAGUGCAAUGGCAUAAGCCAGCUUGACUGCGAGCGUGACGGCGCGAGCAGGUGCGAAAGCAGGUCAUAGUGAUCCGGUGGUUCUGAAUGGAAGGGCCAUCGCUCAACGGAUAAAAGGUACUCCGGGGAUAACAGGCUGAUACCGCCCAAGAGUUCAUAUCGACGGCGGUGUUUGGCACCUCGAUGUCGGCUCAUCACAUCCUGGGGCUGAAGUAGGUCCCAAGGGUAUGGCUGUUCGCCAUUUAAAGUGGUACGCGAGCUGGGUUUAGAACGUCGUGAGACAGUUCGGUCCCUAUCUGCCGUGGGCGCUGGAGAACUGAGGGGGGCUGCUCCUAGUACGAGAGGACCGGAGUGGACGCAUCACUGGUGUUCGGGUUGUCAUGCCAAUGGCACUGCCCGGUAGCUAAAUGCGGAAGAGAUAAGUGCUGAAAGCAUCUAAGCACGAAACUUGCCCCGAGAUGAGUUCUCCCUGAGACUUUAGGUCUCCUGAAGGAACGUUG